This 253-nucleotide ribosomal RNA is filed under the name uncultured bacterium. Its description in RNAcentral is "partial 16S ribosomal RNA". It matches the Rfam family "Bacterial small subunit ribosomal RNA", at positions 524 to 776 of the family's 1533-position model. The record is from RNAcentral.
UACGUAGGUGGCAAGCGUUGUCCGGAAUUACUGGGCGUAAAGCGUGCGCAGGCGGUUGGCAAAGUCAGCUGUGAAAGCCCCGGGCUCAACCUGGGAAUUGCGGUUGAAACUAGUCGACUAGAAUCUGGCAGAGGGGGGUGGAAUUCCACGUGUAGCAGUGAAAUGCGUAGAGAUGUGGAGGAACACCGAUGGCGAAGGCAGCCCCCUGGGCUGAGAUUGACGCUCAGGCACGAAAGCGUGGGGAGCAAACAGG